This is a long non-coding RNA of Sinocyclocheilus rhinocerous, 359 nucleotides long. RefSeq lists it as uncharacterized. NCBI's taxonomy places the organism in Eukaryota, Metazoa, Chordata, Actinopteri, Cypriniformes, Cyprinidae. The record is from RefSeq and is a predicted model, not a curated record. The transcript has 3 exons.
GACUAUUAAAUAGUUCGUGAUGACGUAGCUUUGUUCUCGUCCAAUGGCUUGGUUUGGCUCAUUAAUAUUCAAAACCAAGCCUUCGCCGUCGCCAUAGUGGUGUUCGGUUCCCAGCGUCUGGACGGCCUGUCACCUGCGUCGAAGAGGUACAAGUGUAUACGUACAGUGCUGUCCAGUCCAAGAGUAAUCAUCAUCACAAAGAAGAUGAUGGCAAAGAAAGUCGACCCAACCAUGUUUGCUAUGGCUUCUGGAUAUGUGAUGAAGAGCAGACUGGGUCCUAGAGGAGGCUGAAGUAGACGAUGGUGAAGAUGAGGAAGAGGCAAAGCAGGAGCUGCCAGCGAAUGUAUCCCACAUGCCCA